UCCUUCUCUGUCUUGCCUGAUUUAGGACAAAAAUAAAAAUAAAAAAGAGCUAUGUUGGCAGAAUCAGCAGUGAGCACCAGUAAGAAAGAGCAAUGAGGUGAUGAGAGACAGACAGGUGAUGAGAGACAGACAGGGUGAUGAGAGAGAGACAGGGUGAUGAGAGAGAGAGAGAGACAGGGUGAUGAGAGAGAGAGACAGGGUGAUGAGAGAGAGACAGGGUGAUGAAAGAGAGACAGGGUGAGGAGAGAGAGAGAGAGACAGGGAGAGAGAGAGAGACAGGGUGAUGAGAGAGAGAGACAGGGUGAUGAGAGAGAGACAGGGUGAGGAGAGAGAGAGACAGGAGAGAGACAGGGUGAUGAGAGAGAGACAGGGUGAUGAGAGAGAGAGAGAGACAGGGUGAUGAGAGAGAGAGAGAGACAGGGUGAUGAGAGAGAAAGCUACUGAAGAAAGACUGAAUGCAGAAGGUGAAUACAAAAACGAAAGGCAGAACAUGGACAGAUGGAGAAUUAGAAAUGUAAAUAUUGCA
Molecule: long non-coding RNA, 526 nt
Organism: Clupea harengus (Atlantic herring)
Lineage: Eukaryota; Metazoa; Chordata; Actinopteri; Clupeiformes; Clupeidae
Source: Ensembl